CCAAUGUGUGUAAAUUGUAACGAAACUGGUCACACAGCUGCCUGGAAAGGAUGUUCAAAAUUCCCAAACUGACAACCAUUAACGGAAGACCCUCCUACUCAGAAAUGACGAAGAAAAAUCAAAGAAAACAAGACCCUCAACCCGUUCCCCCACCACGAAAACUGAAUAUGGAGCCCACUUUGACAGCAGCUGAAGAUUUCCCAUCUCUCCUUGGAACCCUCCAAAUGCUAAAAGAACUUAGAGAAGUAUUGAAAGAAUUCCCCAAAUUAAUAGAAGCAGCCAAGCUUGCAAAGAAACCCGAAAAUAAAGAAGAAAAAAAGAUGAUAAUCCUGAACGCUCUGAUCAGCUAAGUCCCACCAAAAGUAAAGUUAAUCCUCUGCAAUUACCCAGCUUUCUGAUUGGUCACCUAUGUACAAUAGUUUAUCCCUCACCGAGCUCAGAAAACCCACUGCAUCACCCUCUCCUACUCCCCUGACAACCUGCAUUCCUAUUGACCAAGACUUCUCACCCACUCUCCCUCACCUGCAAAUUUCGUUUGAAGAUCCAAGGCAGUUUCUCUCCUUCCACCGUAGUGUCAGGAACAACCACAGUUAUCAUGGCAACAUACUAAAAGUCAUGUUUCUACCAGUUAUGUCAUUAAGGGGAUAGUCCUAUUCCAAGGACGGGUGCCCCGAUACGUCUAUCAUCGAGAUCGAGAUAAAAGAACCGCUUCACACUUAACAGUUCAACGGAUCAUAAUUCAUAACACUCACAGGGAAGAAACGAAUGGGUAACCGGCGUCGGUGAGCUAUCGCUCGCUUUGUUUACUACUUGUUACUUGGCGAUAACCCUCGACGACCACCCACAGUAAAAUAUCCCCAAUAUUUUCCCCAUAUGGCUUAAAGGUUUACAAAUAAAUGUAAAUAAAAUCUUAAGAGUGGAAAAAAGUAGUCAAUUAUCCUUUAAAAGGAGAAAUUUUAGUGUCUUAUACUGUGAUUGUGGAUUAAAAUAUAUUUAAUUAUCUUAUAGACUUUUUUAUGAAUUGCAGUUCAUAAUUUUUCUGAAGUUAAAAGCUGCCUAUCUUGCUUCUAAUAAUAUUGAGUGAAUUAAUUUACAUGACUAUUUGUUAUCCUAAAUGCCAAACUGUACUUUACAUUUUAAUGUAUUUCUGUUCUGGUUUACAUGUGUUUUGCAGAUUCUUGUAAAAAUAGCUUAGUCCAUAAUGCUCACUAAUUUUUUUCCCCUUUUCUCUUAAGAUUUUAUGCAUCCUCCUCUACUGCCAGGAAACAGAGAGCGGAAUUUAUUCUUCAUAUUGUAACCAGUGGUAUAUAUAUAUAUAUAUAUAUAUAUAUAUAUAUAUGGUGUCUAUUCUCCACUCUUGCCACUAGAUGGUACUUUGAGGCAGAUUAUUUAUAUAGUUCCCGUGAUACCUUUCAGUUAAUUAUUCUGGAAAAUGAUAUGUUAUGUGAGAAGAGAAGGAGUCUAAAAACAAAAUUUGGCUUUCUGCAAAGUUGCAUUGUUUUUGAGAAUAAAUGGAUUGUGGGAAUUAAAAAAUAAAGCUAUCUUUGAAUCUGCAAGGUCUGAAAGGUAAGAAAUGUCUGAAAUUUAGCGGGUUUGUUCAAGUUGAUAAUUUGAUAAUUCAAAGCCAUUAAUUUUCUGGUGGUUUCUUUAUUAGAAAGAUAAUUGAUGCUUUUAAUGUUUUUUUUUCAUAUUUUACAAACCAUAUACAAGAACAAGAUAUGUUGUCAUUAAUAAAAUUAUUAUAUGUAGGAUUGACAAUUAUAGUUAGCACUAAUGUCUGUAGUAAAAAAAGAUAAAAAUUUGUAUAGAAGUUAGUACACAUUUUAUGGUGAAAUGCCUAGAAAUUUAAUUAAAAAAAUCAGGACUUUUUAAAAAGGGAGGUAAAAUUUCAAAAUCAGUCAUUUAGAGCAAAGAAAAUUAUAUUGAGAUUGAUUAAUCAAUAUCUCACUAUCCUUUCUGUUGCUGAAUACUGUUCUGCAAUCAUUUUUAAAUAAUAUAGAUUACAUGCAUAUGAAAGAAAAAAAAAGUUUUAGUAGUUUUGGUGCAUCUAAAUUCAUUAUUUUUAAAAAUAGUUUCUAACAUAUUUUAGUCUUUUUCACAUGAA
Long non-coding RNA from Argiope bruennichi, 2104 nucleotides. RefSeq lists it as uncharacterized. The transcript has 3 exons. Lineage: Eukaryota; Metazoa; Arthropoda; Arachnida; Araneae; Araneidae. The record is from RefSeq and is a predicted model, not a curated record.